This 253-nucleotide ribosomal RNA is filed under the name uncultured bacterium. RNAcentral describes it as "partial 16S ribosomal RNA". It matches the Rfam family "Bacterial small subunit ribosomal RNA", at positions 524 to 776 of the family's 1533-position model. The record is from RNAcentral.
UACGUAGGGGGCAAGCGUUGUCCGGAAUCAUUGGGCGUAAAGAGCGUGUAGGCGGCCCGAUAAGUCCGCUGUGAAAGUCCAGGGCUCAACCCUGGGAUGCCGGUGGAUACUGUCGGGCUCGAGUCCGGAAGAGGAGUGUGGAAUUCCUGGUGUAGCGGUGAAAUGCGCAGAUAUCAGGAGGAACACCAAUGGCGAAGGCGGCUCACUGGACCGGUACUGACGCUGAUGCGCGAAAGCGUGGGGAGCAAACGGG